GGAGUAAUACCGUAUACGCCCUUCGGGGGAAAGAUUUAUCGGAGAAGGAUUAGCCCGCGUUGGAUUAGGUAGUUGGUGGGGUAAUGGCCUACCAAGCCUACGAUCCAUAGCUGGUUUGAGAGGAUGAUCAGCAACACUGGGACUGAGACACGGCCCAGACUCCUACGGGAGGCAGCAGUGGGGAAUCUUAGACAAUGGGCGCAAGCCUGAUCUAGCCAUGCCGCGUGGACGAUGAAGGCCUUAGGGUUGUAAAGUCCUUUCAGCUGGGAAGAUAAUGACGGUAC
Molecule: ribosomal RNA, 284 nt
Filed under: uncultured bacterium
Lineage: Bacteria
Description: partial 16S ribosomal RNA
Rfam family: Bacterial small subunit ribosomal RNA
Source: RNAcentral